CUUGUGGUGGCGCGUGGGGCUGGAUCUGGAGGCGGUGCUUCACCAGAAAGCAUAUCGGAAGCCGGCGUCGAGAAUGGACUGGGUGGUGAAACUAACUGAUUUCCAGAAAGUCACCAAAGCAAGGUGACAAAUCUGCCACUCAAAGGUGAACCAAGUUUCUUGGCUUUGAUACCAUGAAACCUUUGAUGGAAAGAAGAAAAAAGACCUAAAAAUUUGAGAGAAAAUACUUAAUUAUUCCCAUCAAGCCAAUUGGGGUAUAUAUACUACUUACAAGAGUACAUACUAGGUAAGAAAAUAAAUUAAUUCCCUAAUUAUAGCCUAAUCAUAUCCCAAUCAUAACAGACAAUCAUAUCCCUAAUUAUCACUACAAAUCUAGGCUACUUACAGAAAUAAUCUCAACACUAACAUAUCAAUUUCUUUCAAAAAAAUCCAAAAUGUAUUUCCUCUGAGAGAUAAAGCUUCUUCGAUCUAACCAUCUCAAUUCCCAAAAAAUACUGAAAUUCUCUUAGAUCUUUGAAUUAGAAUUCUUGAACUAGUAGCUUCUUUAAUCGAGUCAUUUCUUCUUUGUCAUCUCCUAUCAUUACUCUGUCAACAUAAAUAAUAAGAGAGUAAUUUUACCCCUAUGAUGUUUAAUAAAUAGGGUAUAAUCAGCAUUGUUUUGUUGAUAGCGAAAGAAAACCAUAACUCUACUGAAUCGGCCAAACCAAGCUCUUUGGGAUUGUUUCAAUCUAUACAAUAUCUUCUUUAGCUUGCACAUCUUAGGUUUUUUCAUCAUCAAAUCAGGAUGUCCAUGUAUAUUUCCUCCUCUAAGACUCAAUGGAGAAAUGCAUUUUUCACAUCAAAUUGCUAUAAGUACUAGUCAAUAUUGACAGCACAAAAUCGCAAAAUUCUAAUCGAAUUCAUUUUGGCAACAGGGCAAAUGUCUCUUGGUAAUCCACUCCAUAGAUUUGAGUAUAUCCCUUGCAAUUAGUUUGACCUUGAAUCUUUCAAUUGAUACAUUUUCUUUGUGUUUCAUAAUGAACACCCAUUUGCAGCCAACUGAUUUUUUUCCCAAGUGAAAGAGUCACCAACUCCUAAGUCUCAUUUUUAGCCAAGGCAUUCAUUUCUUCAAUCAUUGCUCCCUUCUAAUUAGAAUAUUUGACAGCUUCAUUCCAAUCCUAUGAAAUAGAAACAGAGAAAAUAGACAAGACAAAGGCUCUAUAAAAUGGAGACAAAAAAUCAUAGGAAAGAAAGUUAGAAAUAGAAUGUUUUGUACAAUACCUAACUCCUUUUCUUUGAACAAUUGAUUUAUUUAGAUCAUUAAUAAGAUUAAAGUUUAGAGUUGACUCACCAAAUAGAAAAGAGGAAGAUUUAUGACAUUGUGUGGGCUUCAUAAUGGCUUUUUUUGCUUCUGUUUUGUCUUUUCUUGAAUAUCUCCUUAAAGCUAGUUUAUCCAAAUGCGCAAUUAUUUUUUCCUAAUCACCAAUAGUCUCCCAUGUAUAUCAUUCUCGUCUUGAGUAAAAUGAUCAUCAAUAGUUUCCCCCUGUAUACUAGUCUCCUCUUUGAGUAAAAUACUCUAGAGUUAUAAAAUUAGGAAUUAUCUCUUCUCUGUCAUUAUCCUCCAUCUGAAAAGGUGAUGGUUAUCCAAUUACAGAAAUGACCCCACAGACUUUCGCUUUUGCAUCUCUAAAAUUGCAAUCAUGGUAAAAUCUUAGUUGGGGUAGUAACAUCCAUAUUUUCUAAAUAGAAAAUGAUAACACUUGUAACCCUUAUGCGUGGGAGAGUAUCCAACACACACACAUUUAAAAGCCUCCGGAUCGAGUUUUCUACCUAUUUUAGUAUGAAUAAAACACGUGCACCCAAACACCUUUGGUGGGACAGUAUAAGCAUUUUUUCCUUAUAGCACCUCUAAAAGACUUUCAAAGGCAAGAGCUUUGAAAGGCAUUCUAUUAACGAGAUAAACUACAUUUCUCCAAUAGGCUUUUGGAAAAUUCAUGGUGAAAAGGAGAGAACUCGCUAAUUCCAAUAAGUGUCUUUUUUCUUUCAACAACAAUAUUUUGGACACUAGUGUAAAGACAAUUAGUUUGAUGUAGCAUCCCAUUAAAACUCCAGAAAAAUGUCUAUCCAAGUACUCUGUGCCAUUAUUAGUUCUCAAAACUUUUAUCUUAGCAUCAAAGUGAGUACAAACCAUCUUGUAAAAAGAUUAAAAGCAAGAAAACACAUCACUUUUUACCUUUAUCAAAUAAACCCAAGUCAUGCAAAUGCGGUAAUCAAUAAAAAUAAAAAACCAACAAUUAUCAGAUAGUGAGACCGUUGGAAUCUGUCCCCAAACGUCAAAAUGGAUGAUCAGGAAAGGGAUCGUACUUCUAUUGUUGCUUGAAGGAUACGAGGUUUUUAUAUACUUAACAUACUCACAAGUAUCACAAACUAUAAAAUCUCUAAAACAAAUUAUAAAACUGGCCUAAAUGCAAUUUGGCCAUACAUGCAUUACGCAAUCUGAAAUUGUGUUGUGCGUCCACAUGUGAUGAAGAGAGUAUGACUUGUUUUCUUAUUUUCCCAUGCUUCCCAAAUAUAGUUCUCAUUUCGUAAGCCUUGAAUUAAGCGAUGGUAACUUGAUUUAUCAUGAUUUGGAGUUUUCCAUUUCAAAUCUUUGAAGCAUCGUAUUACUUCCUUACUCGUAUUAGGAUGCCCUCUUCCAUAGUGUCCGAUAGGGAUAAGUUGUUUACUAGUCUAUGUAGGAAGGAGCUCUUCAAAGCUUAGGAACAAGACUUUCUUAUAGUAUAGCAUACCACCCCUAAUCUGAUGGCCAACCAGAAAGGUUGAAUUAGUGUCUAGAAGGGUAUUUGAGAUGCCUUGCUUUUCAGCAACUGGCUUUAGCAGAGUGAUGGUAUAAUUCCAGUCAUCAUGGGCAUUAAAAAUGAAGAAUUUUGGGAAAAUUUUAAGUAUUCUUGUAUUUCACUCUUAAUUUUUACAAUUGGUCUACAUGACUAUUUAUACACAAAGAAUGAUAUCUAAACAGGAAGCAAAUAAUCAAAUAAUAAUUACAGAGAUAAUUAAAGAUCCUAAUCAGAUCAAAUCAUAUCCCUAGAAUCACCUAGGAUCAGCAAAUAAGUCAAAACUCCCCUCAAGUUGGUGCAAAGAUGUCGCACAUGCCCAACUUGCAAAUCAGAUUAUGGUAGAUCUUGUUUUUGAGCCCUUUAGUAAACACAUCCGCAAGUUGCCCAGUAGAAGUCACAUGAACUACGCUCAAGACACCGACUAUUAAUUUUUCUUUAAUGAAGUGCCGAUCAAUUUCAAUGUGUUUCGUUCGGUCAUGUUGGACUGGAUUUUGUGCUAUACUUAUAGCAACUUUAUUAUCACAAUACAAGGUUAACUUGUUUCUCUCGGGCAAUCUCAACUCUUCCAAUAACUUUUGCAACCAUAAGAGUUCACACACACUUUAGGCCAUUGCUCUAUAUUUUGCUUCAGCACUUGACCGAGCAACAACAAUUUGUUUUUUGCUCCUCCAGAUAACAAGGUUCCCUCCCACAACUGUGCAGUAGCCAGAGGUAGGUCUCUUAUCAUCGAGAGAUCCUGCCCAAUCUGCAUCUGUAAAAGUUUCAAUUCGGAGGUGACCAUGUUUAGAGUAAAGAAGCCAUUUCCCUGGCGCAGACUUUAGGUAUCUCAAGAUGUAAAGUACAGCCUGCAUAUGAGUCUCGCGAGUGUCAUGCAUGAAUUGGCUGACUAAGCUAACAGCAUAGGCUAUAUCCGGUCGAGUGUGCAAGAGAUAAAUCAACCUUCCUACCAAUCUCUGAUAUCUUCCAAUAUCCACGGACUCACCAGUUCCUUUCAGCUUGUGAUUACUUUCAAUGGGAGAUUCUACUGGUUUACACCCCAUCAUACCAGUUUUUUCCAAAAGAUCCAGAAUGUACUUUCUUUGGGAGAUCAAAAUUCCUUUUUCUGAUCUAGCCACCUCAAUACCUAGGAAAUAUUGCAGUGUUCCUAGAUCUUUGAUUUCAAAUUCCUGAUUCAACAACCUCUUUAGUUGAGCCAUUUCCUCUAUGUCAUCAUCUGUCGCCACUAUAUCAUCAACAUACACAAUAAGAAGGUGACUUACCCUUGUGAUGUUUGAUAAACAGAGUGUGAUCAGCAUUGCUUUGUUGGUAACCAAAGGACAUCAUGGCUCUGCUAAACCUGUCAAACCAAGCUCUGAAAGAUUGUUUUAGCCCAUACAAAGCCUUUUUUAACCUGCACACCUUUCCUUGUGUCUUCUCAUCAGCGAACCCAAGAGGAAUUUCCAUGAACACUUCUUCCUCUAAAUCUCCAUAGAGAAAAGUAUUUUUCACAUCAAACUGUUAUAAGUCCCAAUCAAAGUUGGCUACGCAAGAUAAUAGAAUUCUGAUUGAAUUCAUUUUUGCCACUGGAGCAAAUGUCUCUUGGUAAUCCACUCCAUAGGUUUGGAUGAAUCCUUUAGCAACCAAUCUAGCCUUAAACUGUUCAAUUGUACUAUCAGAUUUGUGUUUUACUGUGAACACACACUUACAGCCAACGAGUUUCUUCCCAGGUGGGAGAGUAACAAGCUCCCAAGUCUCAUUUUUAGCCAAUGUUUUCAUCUCUUCAAUCAUUGCUUCCUUCCAUUUAGGAUCUACAAGAGCUUUCUUCCAAUCCUGUAGAAUAGACACAGAGAACAUAGACAAGGCAAAGGCUCUAUAUGAAGGAGACAAGGAUUCAUAAGAAACCAAGUUAGAAAUAGGAUGUUUAGUACAAGAUUUGACCCAUUUUCUUUGUGCAAUAGGUUUAUCUAAGUCAUUGGAGCAUUUAAAAGUUGUGGGUAACUUACCAGAAGAAGAUUCUUGACUAGGUAACUCACCAGAAGAAAAUUAUUGACUCUAAGUAGAUUGCAUAAUGGCUUCUUCUACCUUGUCUCUCCUCGAAUAUCUUCUUAAAUCUGACUUGUCCAAACGACCAAUUCUUUCUCCCUAACUGGACAUCUCCCCUGUCUACUAGAAUUCAAACUCUCUAGUUGAACCAUAUUAUUCAGAAUCACAAAAUUUGGAAUCACCUCUUCUUACUCAUUAUUCUCCCCCUGAAAAGGUGAAUGGGCAGUAGUACUGAAGUAGGGUUCAGUUUCUCGGAAGGUAACAUCCAUACUGACUAAGUAUUUUCUAGAGGGAGGGUGAUAACACUUGUAUCCCUUUUGUGUCGGAGAAUACCUAAUAAACACACAUUUAAGGGCCUUGGGGUCCAAUUUCCCUGUCAUCCUAGUAUGGACAAAAUAAACACACUCAAAUACUUUUGGUAGAACAACAUAUGAAUUCUUCCCUUGUAGAGCCGCCAAAAGACUCAUAAAGUCAAUGGUCUUGAGAGGCAUUCUAUUUAUAAGAUAAGCAGAUACAAGAAUUGCAUCUCCCCAAUAUGCUUUGGGUAGAUUCAUGAUGAACAUAAGAGAUCGAGCUACCUCCAAUAGAUGCCUAUUUUUUCUCUCAGCAAUGCCAUUUUGAGCACUAGUAUAAAGACAACUAGUCUGGUGUACUAUCCCAUUACUCUCCAAAUAAGCAGAAAAGCUACUAUCCAUGUAUUCUCUUCCAUUGUCAAUUCUCAAUAUUUUCACCUUAGUAUCAAAUUAAGUACAGACCAUCUUAUGAAAGGAUUGAAAAUAAGAAAAGACAUCACUUUUAGCUUUAGUUAGAUAGACCCAAGUCAUUCGAGUGCAACAAUCAAUAAAGGUAACAAACCAUUGAUUACCAGAUAAGGAGACAGUUUGAGUAGGCUCCCAAGCAUCAAAAUGAAUAAUCGCAAAAGGAAUUUGACUUAUUAUGACUCAAAGAAUAGGAUGUUAUAGUGUGUUUAGCAUACUCACAAGCAUCACAAAAUAAAGAGCCAAACUGAGUUUUAGCAAACAAAUUAGGACAAAGUUUUUCUAAGACAAAAAUUUAUGAAUGGCCUAACUGCGUGUACCACUGUAUUAUUUCCUAAUUGACAUCUUUAUUUUCUCCAAAACAUGUUUGAGAUAUCGAAGAACCUGAAUCACCCUCCAACAUGUAUAAGCCAUCAUGCAACCUACCAUUGCCAAUCCUCUUCCCUGUGCGAAGAUCCUGAAUAACACAAUGAUCAGGAAAUAAUUUAAUUUUAUAGUUAAGGGCAUUAGUGAUAGCACUGACAGAUAAAAGGUUGAUAAGAAAGUGGAGAAUAUGAAGGACAUAUGAUAAUUUAAUGUUGGAUGUGCAAAUAACAGAACCUGUUCCGGAUAUGGGAGUAAAAGAGCCAUCAGCAAUUUUGAUACUAUCUUUGGUUAGAGAAGAGAAUAAUUGAGAAAGCCUUUAGAAGAGCCUGUUAUAUGUCUAUUCACAUCAGAAUCGAUAAUCCAUGGAACAUUAUUAAAAGAGGAAGCAUUAUCUGACUUUACAAAAUUAAAUGUGGCACCGAAGGAUGAAGAGGUGUCAAUAUGAGACAGAAGGCGCUUGAGACUCUGAAGUUCAUUAGGGGAAAGGAACUCAGUCGUUGUUGUCUCCUUAAAGGACUCCUCCAUUGUUUCUGCUAAAUUAGCUUGAUUUCUGGAGGUAUCUCGUUUUCCUCCACGGCCUCUAGGGGGACGACCAUGUAACUUCCAACAAGUCUCUUUAGUAUGCCGCAGUUUCCCACAAUAGUCACAGUGUAAGUGAUCUUUCUCAGAAGUAGGAGGCUGUGGUGUGCUCAAACUAGUAGUCAACCCAGCCUUUUCAACUGGUGCAAUAUAGAGCAUAGCAUGUUGACGACUUUCCUCUCGUUGAACAUGGGUGUGGGCCUCUUCUAGAGAAGGAAAAGGAUUACUUCCCAACACUUGGACCCGAAUUGGAUCAUAUUCGUUACUCAACCCUGCAAGAAAAUCAUAGACCCACUCCUUUUUAAUCAUUCUCCGAAAUUUGACUGUAUCUCCAGUGCAGUCUGCGUGAAAGUCUUGAUAGUAAUCAAGUUCCUUUUGCCAUGAUAAAGAUUUAUUAACCGUAAAAGAAUAGGAGAUACCAAAGGUUGUACACACAAGAGAGCCCAAUCGAUUCACCAAAAAACCAGGUAGCAGCACAGGAAGGCCGGAAAGAUGGUCGGAAUCGUCGCCGGAGUGAUCGGAGCGGCGAAGCAGCGACAGGUGAUGGGUCACGCGCCGAGAAACGAUGGGGUCACGCGUCGAGAAGGGGAGGCACGCGAGCCUCAUCCGCAUGCUUUUCCAACGUCGGAGCUGGUCGAUCAACCGGCGACAGCCUGGCGAUUCUCCUGGUGCCGGCAGUGAGAGGAGGAGAGGCUCCUAGAUGGGUUAGUACCAAAAAAGGUAGAUCUAGGGUUUUGAAAACCUAAAGAGGAAAAUUUGAAUUUGAACCGUAAAAUCAGGAAAAGGCUUUGAUACCAUGAAUUUUGGGAAAAUUUUGAGAAUUCUUGUAUUUCACUCUUAAUCUUUACAAUUGGUCUAUAUGACUAUUUAUAUAUAAAAAAUUAUAUCUAAACAGAAAGUAAAUAAUCAAAUAAUAAUUACAGAGAUAAUUAAGAAUCCUAAUCAGAUCAAAUCAUAUCCCUAGAAUCACCUAGGAUCAGCAAAUAAUUCAACAAAAAAUAACCAUAUUCAAAACUUUCAAUGGUUAUAAGCAUGGUCCUCUAGCAUUACUACCGAUGGAAGAGGGGUCUGUGGGGCUAACAAAUGUCUUUUUGCAGGUGAGACAGCAAAUAUCCCAUGAUCCGAGACAAUUUGUUGAAGACACAAAACAAAAUGAAAAAGUUUGCAAACAAGAAGAGAUCUAAAAGAGAAUUUCAAAUGAAGGAUUGGAUUUACUUAAAAUUGCAGUCGUAUAGGCAGAGCUCCCUAGCCCUCAGGAAGAAUUUUGAGUUGGUUGCAAGGUUCUAUGGGCCUUAUUAUGUCAUUGCAAAAAUUGGAGAUGUUGCUUAUAAACUCUAAUUGCCUCUUGAGUCAACCAUUCAUCAUGUCUUUCAUGUGUCACCUUGAAGAAGAAGGUGGGGGAUGAGCAUAUUGUUGUUUAGGAUUUGCCUACUUACCAAGAAGAUGUAGUAAUUUAUCCUAAAAAAGUUUUAAAGAAGAGGAUUAUUCUAAGGCAGGGUAAGAGGAUCUAUCAAGGGCUAAUCAAGUAGUCUCAAUUGUCCGUUGAAGAGGCCACUUAGGAGGAUAAACCUUCAUCCUCUCUCAAUUUCCUAAUUUUGAAUCUUCUUAGGGACAAGAAGACUCUGUAGGGGAAGGUAUUGUCACAUAUUCUAGAAGAAAGAGGAAGACUAAUAAGUGACAGAUGUAGUAGAGUUUUGAGGGAAAGGAAUAAGUAGUGCAUUGGAGGAAAAAAUUAUUUGAGACAGUUAUACUUAUAUACUUAAAUAAAAAGGGAAUGGGAUGUAACAAAAAGGCAUGAAAAGAAUGCAAUUAUUAUCCUUUCCCAAACACCUCUAAUUCUUUCCUCAUCAAAUUCUAAAUUCUCCUCUCACCUCCUCAUAUGAUUUAUUCUUCUCUUUUCUCAUCCCAAUAUACUACCGGUCAAGAUCCAGAUCUCUUGACACCCUGCAAGUCCAAUGAGAGGUAGUAACCUUGCCAGCUCAAUGAGGGAGCUAAAAACCCCUAUAUAAAAAAUUUUUAUCUGAAUUUUUUCCAUACUUCAUUUAGAUUAUAAGUUUAAAUAUACAUGUUGGAAAAAUAAAAUUAGAAAUGACAAGAGAUUACAGAUUGGCUUAAUUUAUUCCCAUAAUCUUGGGAUUGAUAAGAACUAAUUACUAGUAAAUCCCUACAAUUAUGAAGAUCGUUAUCUUUCUUGACCACACUUGUAUUCUUGAUUCACUACAAUGAUAUCCAUUCCCUACUUUGUUCACUAGCCAUCUGACCAUCUUUACUUAAACCAAUAGGUCACCAUACUUAUUGGCUCUUUCCAACUAGUUAUCCAACCUGGAGUUAUCAACCCUCAAGCUGAUAAUCUUUUCUUUAUUCACUCAGACAUCUCGCUCCCUUUACUAAAACUAGCUGAUCAUGCUCAACCGACUCCUUUCAGCUAAUCAAGACCUAUGUGUCAAUUCUUCCUUAUUCACUUGAACAUCUGGUCUCCUUUACUUGAACCAGUCAACUGUCCUCAACUGACUCCUUUGAACUAGUCAAACAAAUCUACAUCAUUACUAGUCCUGUAGUCCCCAGCCUUCAACCAAAUCUCCAGAUGAGUGUUUCCCAUCCUUUGGUUGAUCAGUUCCUCCUUUCUCUUACUAGAUCUGUAGCAUGACAAAGAAAGAAGACAUGGGGAAUGAACUUGUUAUUAGGCUAAUCACUACACUUAUCAUACAACCAAUGAAAGAAUAACUCACAAGUAGAUGCUCCGGAAGCUCAAAGCAGUAGAUGUAAACAAGAUAAUUAAUAUUAUAGGACAACGAAGAAGAAGUGCCCAGUGAAUGGAUAAUCAAACCACAAUUAUUAAGUAGCAAAGAGGACCUAGAGCCUAAGAACAAAGCAAAAAUGCAUGUCAAGUGGGGAAGAAAAGAAAGAAAAUUGAAGAAAAGCUAACAAUCUUCAGAGCAUCAAUCUAAGCACCAAGAAAAAUAACACAAAUUAAAUAUAAAUUUAACUAAAAGCGAAGUAGAA
This 9544-nucleotide long non-coding RNA is filed under the name Manihot esculenta (cassava). Its description in RNAcentral is "long non-coding RNA (MESC_LNC010737)". The record is from RNAcentral. Lineage: Eukaryota; Viridiplantae; Streptophyta; Magnoliopsida; Malpighiales; Euphorbiaceae.